This 465-nucleotide ribosomal RNA is filed under the name uncultured bacterium. RNAcentral describes it as "bacterial SSU rRNA". It matches the Rfam family "Bacterial small subunit ribosomal RNA", at positions 338 to 795 of the family's 1533-position model. The record is from RNAcentral.
CCUACGGGAUGCACCAGUGGGGAAUAUUGCACAAUGGGCGCAAGCCUGAUGCAGCCAUGCCGCGUGUAUGAAGAAGGCCUUCGGGUCGUAAAGUACUUUCAGCAGUGAGGAAGGUUCAUGCGUUAAUAGCGUAUGGAUUUGACGUUAGCUGCAGAAGAAGCACCGGCUAACUCCGUGCCAGCAGCCGCGGUAAUACGGAGGGUGCGAGCGUUAAUCGGAAUUACUGGGCGUAAAGCGCAUGCAGGUGGUUUGUUAAGUCAGAUGUGAAAGCCCGGGGCUCAACCUCGGAAUUGCAUUUGAAACUGGCAGACUAGAGUACUGUAGAGGGGGGUAGAAUUUCAGGUGUAGCGGUGAAAUGCGUAGAGAUCUGAAGGAAUACCGGUGGCAAAGGCGGCCCCCUGGACAGAUACUGACGCUCAGAUGCGAAAGCGUGGGGAGCAAACAGGAUUAGAUACCCGUGUAGUC